Molecule: ribosomal RNA, 372 nt
Filed under: uncultured organism
Description: partial 16S ribosomal RNA
Rfam family: Bacterial small subunit ribosomal RNA
Source: RNAcentral
GUAGGUGGCAAGCGUUGUCCGGAAUUAUUGGGCGUAAAGCGAGCGCAGGCGGUUCUUUAAGUCUGAUGUGAAAGCCCACGGGCUCAACCGUGGAGGGUCAUUGGAAACUGGAGAACUUGAGUACAGAAGAGGAAAGCGGAAUUCCACGUGUAGCGGUGAAAUGCGUAGAGAUGUGGAGGAACACCAGUGGCGAAGGCGGCUUUCUGGUCUGUAACUGACGCUGAGGCGCGAAAGCGUGGGGAGCAAACAGGAUUAGAUACCCUGGUAGUCCACGCCGUAAACGAUGAGUGCUAAGUGUUAGGGGGUUUCCGCCCCUUAGUGCUGCAGCUAACGCAUUAAGCACUCCGCCUGGGGAGUACGGCCGCAAGGCUG